ACGGGAGGCAGCAGUGGGGAAUAUUGCACAAUGGGCGGAAGCCUGAUGCAGCGACGCCGCGUGAGGGAUGAAGGCCUUCGGGUUGUAAACCUCUUUCAGCAGGGACGAAGCGUGAGUGACGGUACCUGCAGAAGAAGCACCGGCUAACUACGUGCCAGCAGCCGCGGUAAUACGUAGGGUGCGAGCGUUGUCCGGAAUUACUGGGCGUAAAGAGUUCGUAGGCGGUUUGUCGCGUCGUUUGUGAAAACCCGGGGCUCAACUUCGGGCUUGCAGGCGAUACGGGCAGACUUGAGUGUUUCAGGGGAGACUGGAAUUCCUGGUGUAGCGGUGAAAUGCGCAGAUAUCAGGAGGAACACCGGUGGCGAAGGCGGGUCUCUGGGAAACAACUGACGCUGAGGAACGAAAGCGUGGGUAGCAAACAGGAUUAGAUACCCUGGUA
This 439-nucleotide ribosomal RNA is filed under the name uncultured Rhodococcus sp. Its description in RNAcentral is "bacterial SSU rRNA". It matches the Rfam family "Bacterial small subunit ribosomal RNA", at positions 341 to 792 of the family's 1533-position model. Lineage: Bacteria; Bacillati; Actinomycetota; Actinomycetes; Mycobacteriales; Nocardiaceae. The record is from RNAcentral.